This 513-nucleotide ribosomal RNA is filed under the name Triticum aestivum (bread wheat). RNAcentral's name for it is "partial small subunit ribosomal RNA". Lineage: Eukaryota; Viridiplantae; Streptophyta; Magnoliopsida; Poales; Poaceae. The record is from RNAcentral.
AUGCACCCGCGUCAUUCAUCGCCAGUCAAUGUUAUCUUCCACCUACCCACUUCCUCUCGCCUUUACUCCUGCACUCGUUCCCCCAUUUUCCUCCUCCACCUCCACCACUACCGCCGCAUCUACUCCACUAUAGCCAAUCAUUUUCCCUUUCUCUUGUUGUUCUUCUGGAUCUCCACUGCUUCGAGCUAUCUCUCCCUUCCAGAUACGUCUAUGGUGUCUUCGUCUUCCUUCGUUCCUGCUGCGUUGCCAGCCGCAGCCGAAGACAUCGCUCCUCUCCCACUCAUCCGGUGCCCUAGAUGCAACCUCGGUGUGAUCCAGUGGUUCAUCUCUGAGACCCCCAUGAAUCCCGGUCGUCAUUUCUACAAGUGCCAGUUCCGUGAUAUCGGGCGUUGCAACUUUUGGAAAUGGGAGAACAAGUACAUCGACUACCUGCGCGCUCGUUGGUCGCAUGUGUUUCUUCCUGCACCUCCUCCUGCCGUUCAAGCCCCCACCAUGAUCCUCCGUGAGAUUUAG